This 515-nucleotide ribosomal RNA is filed under the name uncultured bacterium. RNAcentral describes it as "partial 16S ribosomal RNA". It matches the Rfam family "Bacterial small subunit ribosomal RNA", at positions 28 to 523 of the family's 1533-position model. The record is from RNAcentral.
GAUGAACGCUGGCGGCGUGCCUAAUACAUGCAAGUCGAGCGAAUGGAUUAAGAGCUUGCUCUUAUGAAGUUAGCGGCGGACGGGUGAGUAACACGUGGGUAACCUGCCCAUAAGACUGGGAUAACUCCGGGAAACCGGGGCUAAUACCGGAUAACAUUUUGAACCGCAUGGUUCGAAAUUGAAAGGCGGCUUCGGCUGUCACUUAUGGAUGGACCCGCGUCGCAUUAGCUAGUUGGUGAGGUAACGGCUCACCAAGGCAACGAUGCGUAGCCGACCUGGGAGGGUGAUCGGCCACACUGGGACUGAGACACGGCCCAGACUCCUACGGGAGGCAGCAGUAGGGAAUCUUCCGCAAUGGACGAAAGUCUGACGGAGCAACGCCGCGUGAGUGACAAAGGCUUUCGGGUCGUAAAACUCUGUUGUUAGGGAAGAACAAGUGCUAGUUGAAUAAGCUGGCACCUUGACGGUACCUAACCAGAAAGCCACGGCUAACUACGUGCCAGCAGCCGCAGUAA